RNAcentral lists this long non-coding RNA (644 nucleotides) under Bos grunniens (domestic yak). RNAcentral describes it as "lncRNA (ENSBGRG00000009831.1)". The record is from RNAcentral. Lineage: Eukaryota; Metazoa; Chordata; Mammalia; Artiodactyla; Bovidae.
AUGCUGUCUCUGGAAAGGAAAAGAAAGAAUCCCAAAUCAUCCACAGAUGGUACAACUUUCACUUUUCCUCUCUUAGGACCGAGGCGCGCCUCUUUCUCCCGGCUCACUCAUACCCCACCCCCGAUGGGAAGCGCAAGCUGGAGGAAGCCCCCGCCGCGGCGCUCCUCGCGCGCACCCACCUCACCGCCCGCCGCCUUCAGCGCCCGACCCUCGGGGGCUAGCGGAGUUCCUUUCAGCCCUCGGGAAAAGGAGUCGGGGCGAGGGGAGCAGUCGCCGCAACUGCUCCAAACUUCGUCCCCCGACCUCCCAACUCCGGGAGGUGAAAUUCUCCAGCCCGUCUCCGGAUGGCCGCCAGACGUUUGUAGGUGCCAGUUAAGGAUUCUCACCACUUUGAAAAAUGGUGGGAAUGGAAAUACUAUACGGGCUGCAUUUGAGAACCAGACUGCAAAGACACUGCACCAAGCCAUAUGUGGACUCUUAGUUCCUCAACCAGGAAUUGAACCCACACCCUCUGCAUUAGAAGCUCAGAGUCUAACCACUGGACCAUCAGGGAAGUCCUGCCCAGCACUUUUUGAGUUUCCAUAGAGUUAAGGGUCCACUGUGGCUGAGGAGGAAAGCACAGUUCUCUAUACAGAAGGUAGAAG